CUACGGGUGGCACCAGUGGGGAAUAUUGGACAAUGGGGGAAACCCUGAUCCAGCAAUGCCGCGUGUGUGAAGAAGGCCUGCGGGUUGUAAAGCACUUUCGGUUGGGAGGACUGCUUCUAGCACUAAUAUUGUUGGAAGUUGACGUUACCUUCAGAAGAAGCACCGGCUAACUCCGUGCCGGCAGCCGCGGUAAUACGGAGGGUGCAAGCGUUAAUCGGAAUUACUGGGCGUAAAGCGCGCGUAGGCGGCUAGAUCAGUCGGGUGUGAAAGCCCCGGGCUUAACCUGGGAACUGCAUCCGAUACUGUCUAGCUUGAGUACAGGAGAGGAGAGUGGAAUUCCACAUGUAGCGGUGAAAUGCGUAGAUAUGUGGAGGAACACCAAUGGCGAAGGCAGCUCUCUGGCCUGAUACUGACGCUGAGGUGCGAAAGCGCGGGGAGCAAACAGGAUUAGAUACCCCUGUAGUC
Molecule: ribosomal RNA, 465 nt
Filed under: uncultured bacterium
Lineage: Bacteria
Description: partial 16S ribosomal RNA
Rfam family: Bacterial small subunit ribosomal RNA
Source: RNAcentral